GACGAACGCUGGCGGCGUGCUUAACACAUGCAAGUCGAGCGGUAAGGCCCUUUCGGGGGUACACGAGCGGCGAACGGGUGAGUAACACGUGGGUGACCUGCCCUCAGCUCUGGGAUAAGCCUGGGAAACCGGGUCUAAUACUGGAUAUGACUCCAUGACGCAUGUUGUGGGGUGGAAAGCCUUGUGCGGCUGAGGAUGGGCCCGCGGCCUAUCAGCUUGUUGGUGGGUGANGGCCUACCAAGGCGACGACGGGUAGCCGGCCUGAGAGGGCGACCGGCCACACUGGGACUGAGACACGGCCCAGACUCCUACGGGAGGCAGCAGUGGGGAAUCUUGCGCAAUGGGCGAAAGCCUGACGCAGCGACGCCGCGUGAGGGAUGACGGCCUC
Molecule: ribosomal RNA, 388 nt
Filed under: uncultured bacterium
Lineage: Bacteria
Description: bacterial SSU rRNA
Rfam family: Bacterial small subunit ribosomal RNA
Source: RNAcentral